This 343-nucleotide ribosomal RNA is filed under the name Escherichia coli. RNAcentral describes it as "bacterial SSU rRNA". It matches the Rfam family "Bacterial small subunit ribosomal RNA", at positions 257 to 592 of the family's 1533-position model. The record is from RNAcentral. Lineage: Bacteria; Pseudomonadati; Pseudomonadota; Gammaproteobacteria; Enterobacterales; Enterobacteriaceae.
GUAACGGCUCACCUAGGCGACGAUCCCUAGCUGGUCUGAGAGGAUGACCAGCCACACUGGAACUGAGACACGGUCCAGACUCCUACGGGAGGCAGCAGUGGGGAAUAUUGCACAAUGGGCGCAAGCCUGAUGCAGCCAUGCCGCGUGUAUGAAGAAGGCCUUCGGGUUGUAAAGUACUUUCAGCGGGGAGGAAGGGAGUAAAGUUAAUACCUUUGCUCAUUGACGUUACCCGCAGAAGAAGCACCGGCUAACUCCGUGCCAGCAGCCGCGGUAAUACGGAGGGUGCAAGCGUUAAUCGGAAUUACUGGGCGUAAAGCGCACGCAGGCGGUUUGUUAAGUCAGA